AUUGAACGCUGGCGGAAUGCUUUACACAUGCAAGUCGAACGGCAGCACGGACUUCGGUCAGGUGGCGAGUGGCGAACGGGUGAGUAAUGUAUCGGAACGUGCCCAGUCGUGGGGGAUAACGUAGUGAAAAUUACGCUAAUACCGCAUACGAUCUAUGGAUGAAAGCGGGGGAUCGCAAGACCUCGCGCGAUUGGAGCGGCCGAUAUCAGAUUAGGUAGUUGGUGGGGUAAAGGCCCACCAAGCCAACGAUCUGUAGCUGGUCGGAGAGGACGACCAGCCACACUGGAACUGAAACACGGUCCAGACUCCUACGGGAGGCAGCAUUGGGGAAUUUUGGACAAUGGGCGAAAGCCUGAUCCAGCCAUUCCGCGUGUAGGAUGAAGGCCCUCGAGUUGUAAACUGCUUUUGUACAGAACGAAAAGGUUUCUACUAAUACUAGGAGCUCAUGACGGUACUGUAAGAAUAAGCACCGGCUAACUACGUGCCAGCCGCCGCGGUAA
Molecule: ribosomal RNA, 500 nt
Filed under: uncultured bacterium
Lineage: Bacteria
Description: partial 16S ribosomal RNA
Rfam family: Bacterial small subunit ribosomal RNA
Source: RNAcentral